This 727-nucleotide ribosomal RNA is filed under the name uncultured archaeon. Its description in RNAcentral is "bacterial SSU rRNA". It matches the Rfam family "Archaeal small subunit ribosomal RNA", at positions 128 to 859 of the family's 1478-position model. The record is from RNAcentral.
AAUCUCGGGAAACUGAGAAUAACACCCCAUAGAUCUAGGAUGCUGGAAUGCACUUAGAUUGAAAACUUCAUAGCGCCUAAGGAUGAGUCUGCGGACUAUCAGGUAGUAGUCAGGGUAAUGACCUGACUAGCCUACGACGGAUACGGGUUGUGGGAGCAAUAACCCGGAGAUGAUAUCUGAGACACGAUAUCAGGCCCUACGGGGCGCAGCAGGCGCAAAAACUUCGCACUGUGCGAAAGCACGACGAGGGAAUCCCAAGUGCUGGCUCGUUAGAGUCAGCUGUUUUUCUGUCUAAAAAACAGAGAGAGUAAGGGCUGGGUAAGACGGGUGCCAGCCGCCGCGUUAAUACCUGCAGCCCAAGUGGUGGUCUGUAUUAUUGGGCCUAAAACGUCGGUAGCCGGUUCUGUAAAUGCCUGGUUAAAUCGUGUAGCUUAACUAUACAAAUUCCGGGUAGACUGCAGGACUUGAGAUCGGGAGAGCUAGAGGUACUCCGGGGUAGAGGUGAAAUUCUGUAAUCCUCGGGGGACCACGAGUGGCGAAGGCGUCUAGCUAGAACGAGUCUGACGGUCAGGGACGAAGCCCUGUGCGCAAACGGCAUUAGAUACCCCGGUAGUCCAGGGUGUAAACGCUGCUCGCUUGAUGUAAGCUGGCCUCUGAGCCAGCUAGUGUCGUGAGUAGUUGUUAAGCAGAGCUGCCUGGGAAGUACGGUCGCAUGACUGAAACUUAC